Xiphophorus hellerii (green swordtail) is the source of this 1326-nucleotide non-coding RNA. NCBI's taxonomy places the organism in Eukaryota, Metazoa, Chordata, Actinopteri, Cyprinodontiformes, Poeciliidae. The record is from the annotation of a RefSeq genome assembly.
UGGUUUAUUUUUGACUGGAUCGCUAACGCUAACCAGAAACCAGCGGGCUUGCAUUAACGCAGAAUGACAAAUCUAGAAAUCAGGACUUUAUUAGUUGCAGUCGCCAUUCAUGGAGUCUUGGGUCAGAUCAAACUGGAGCAGUCGCCCUCUGUGGUGAAAAAGCCCGGAGAAGCAGCAAAGCUAUCCUGCUCUGUGAAUGGAUUUGACAAAGCUAACGAGUUUGUUCACUGGACACGGCAAAAGACAGGGAAAACUCUUGAGUGGAUCGGAAGACAGUCACUGUCAUGGCAAGAAUAUUCUUCAUCCUUUCAAAGUCGUUUUACUCUCUCAUAUGACGUGUCCAGCAGCUCUGCAGACCUCAGCAUCAGGAGUCUGACAGAGGAAGACUCUGCCCUCUACUUCUGUGCUCAUACAGCACAGUGACUCAAAACGCCACAACACCAGUGUAAAAACCUCCCAGAGAAAAACAAGCGAUGAAAUCACAGCUAAAGCAUAUUCUCAUUCAUAUUUAAUGUAGUGUACAAAAAGAAUCAGCUCAAGAUUAAGAAAAAGAUCAAAUUAAAAUUGUUUGUGAAUGACUGAAAAUGUCAGAAAAACAACUGUGGCUGAUAUAUAAAAAACAACUGGUGAUUAUAAUUUAGUUACAUUCCCUUCACAAUUAAAAAUUUGGCUUCUGUGUUAAAUUGUUAGAAUUCACAAUGAACUUAAUCUCUUCCUCUUUGCACAUCUGGAGUUGUUUUCUGGCUUUCAGGGAUGACAGAGUGCAACAGGUGCGUCACCAGAUGGAUGGCUUGAUAAUUUCCUUUUUCAUUUCUACACAGCACUGUACCCAACCCUAAUCCUUAGUUUCUUUCUCAGGAUUAUUCUAAUAAAAGUUUCAGACUGAAUAAAGUUUUUAACUAACUCUAGAUUUGGGUUAGAUUUCACUACCUAGACAAUAAAUACAUUAAAAAAGAAUUGAAUUUGACAGUAGACCUAGAAUAGUGGUUCCUCUGGCAGGAAAAUAUUCAUCCAGCUGUUUUAAUAUUUCUCCCUGCAAAGUCUGGGCCUAAUCUGAGACCUUAUUUCCUGCAGGACAUACCUCAAAACAGCUAGUUUUCUCUCUCCACAAAAGCAUACAUUUCUCCACCAUUCUAGAACAAGAUUCUGCAAAGUUUAAUGUAAAUCUGACCUGGUGGUUUUUGUAUGGCAGUUUAUCACUGUGGUGGGCAGGAGGCUAUGCCACUAAGAAAUAUGGCAAUACAAAAAGCUACCAAAAGAAAGAGGUCAAAGCACAACAAAAGAAAUCAUAAUUUUUUCAAAAUAAAAUUAAAGAUAAGCUUGUUG